GAUGAAGAACGCAGCGAAAUGCGAUACGUAAUGUGAAUUGCAAAUUCAGUGAAUCAUCGAGUCUUUGAACGCACAUUGCGCCCCCUGGUAUUCCGGGGGGCAUGCCUGUCCGAGCGUCAUUGCUGCCCUCAAGCACGGCUUGUGUGUUGGGCCCCGUCCUCCGAUUCCCGGGGACGGGCCCGAAAGGCAGCGGCGGCACCGCGUCCGGUCCUCGAGCGUAUGGGGCUUUGUCACCCGCUCUGUAGGCCCGGCCGGCGCUUGCCGAUCAACCCAAAUUUUUAUCCAGGUUGACCUCGGAUCAGGUAGGGAUACCCGCUGAACUUAAGCAUAUCAAUAAGCGGAGGA
This 345-nucleotide unclassified non-coding RNA is filed under the name soil metagenome. Its description in RNAcentral is "partial contains 5.8S ribosomal RNA, internal transcribed spacer 2, and large subunit ribosomal RNA". The stretch from base 1 to 119 matches the Rfam family "5.8S ribosomal RNA", at positions 35 to 154 of the family's 154-position model. The record is from RNAcentral.